This 429-nucleotide ribosomal RNA is filed under the name Actinomycetes bacterium. RNAcentral's name for it is "Actinobacteria bacterium partial 16S ribosomal RNA". It matches the Rfam family "Bacterial small subunit ribosomal RNA", at positions 355 to 776 of the family's 1533-position model. Lineage: Bacteria; Bacillati; Actinomycetota; Actinomycetes. The record is from RNAcentral.
UAGGGAAUCUUCCGCAAUGGGCGAAAGCCUGACGGAGCAACGCCGCGUGAGUGAUUAAGGUCUUCGGAUCGUAAAACUCUGUUAUUAGGGAAGAACAAAUGUGUAAGUAACUAUGCACGUCUUGACGUUACCUAAACAGAAAGCCACGGCUAACUACGUGCCAGCAGCCGCGGUAAUACGUAGGUGGCAAGCGUUAUCCGGAAUUAUUGGGCGUAAAGCGCGCGUAGGCGGUUUUUUAAGUCUGAUGUGAAAGCCCACGGCUCAACCGUGGAGGGUCAUUGGAAACUGGAAUACUUGAGUGCAGGAGAGGAAAGUGGAAUUCCAUGUGUAGCGGUGAAAUGCGCAGAGAUAUGGAGGAACACCAGUGGAGAAGGCGACUUUCUGGUCUGUAACUGACGCUGAUGUGCGAAAGCGGGGGGAUCAAAUAGG